RNAcentral lists this ribosomal RNA (358 nucleotides) under Simplicillium sp. 6724-S2. RNAcentral's name for it is "eukaryotic LSU rRNA". The stretch from base 1 to 126 matches the Rfam family "5.8S ribosomal RNA", at positions 29 to 154 of the family's 154-position model. The record is from RNAcentral. Lineage: Eukaryota; Fungi; Ascomycota; Sordariomycetes; Hypocreales; Cordycipitaceae.
UGCAUCGAUGAAGAACGCAGCGAAAUGCGAUAAGUAAUGUGAAUUGCAGAAUUCAGUGAAUCAUCGAAUCUUUGAACGCACAUUGCGCCCGCCAGCAUUCUGGCGGGCAUGCCUGUUCGAGCGUCAUUUCAACCCUCGAGCUCGUCUUCAUUGACGAGAUCGGUGUUGGGGAACGGCACCAGCGGACCUAGUCCGCCGCCGGCCCCGAAAUUCAGUGGCGGCCCGUUGCGGCGACCUCUGCGUAGUAACUUAACCUCGCACCGGAAGACCAACGCGGCCACGCCGUAAAACCCCCGACUUUUUUAAGGUUGACCUCGAAUCAGGUAGGACUACCCGCUGAACUUAAGCAUAUCAAUAA